CCUACGGGUGGCAGCAGUGGGGAAUAUUGCACAAUGGGGGAAACCCUGAUGCAGCGACGCCGCGUGAAGGAAGAAGUAUUUCGGUAUGUAAACUUCUAUCAGCAGGGAAGAAAAUUACGGUACCUGACUAACAAUCCCCGGCUAACUCCGUGCCAGCAGCCGCGGUCAUACGCAGGGGGCAAGCGUUAUCCGGAUUUACUGGGUGUAACGGGAGCGUAGGCGGCUUAGCAAGUCAGGAGUGAAAGCCCGGGGCUCAACGCCGGGACUGCUUUUGACACUGGUGAACUAGAUUGCAGGAGAGGUAAGUGGAAUUCCUAGUGUAGCGGUGAAAUGCGUAGAUAUUAGGAGGAACACCAGUGGCGAAGGCGGCUUACUGGACUGUAAAUGACGCUGAGGCUCGAAAGCGUGGGGAGCAAACAGGAUUAGAUACCCCAGUAGUC
RNAcentral lists this ribosomal RNA (440 nucleotides) under uncultured bacterium. RNAcentral describes it as "partial 16S ribosomal RNA". It matches the Rfam family "Bacterial small subunit ribosomal RNA", at positions 338 to 795 of the family's 1533-position model. The record is from RNAcentral.